RNAcentral lists this ribosomal RNA (253 nucleotides) under uncultured bacterium. RNAcentral's name for it is "partial 16S ribosomal RNA". It matches the Rfam family "Bacterial small subunit ribosomal RNA", at positions 524 to 776 of the family's 1533-position model. The record is from RNAcentral.
UACGUAGGGCGCAAGCGUUGUCCGGAAUUAUUGGGCGUAAAGAGCUCGUAGGCGGCUUGUCACGUCGGGUGUGAAAGCCCGGGGCUUAACCCCGGGUCUGCAUUCGAUACGGGCAGGCUAGAGUGUGGUAGGGGAGAUCGGAAUUCCUGGUGUAGCGGUGAAAUGCGCAGAUAUCAGGAGGAACACCGGUGGCGAAGGCGGGUCUCUGGGCCGAUACUGACGCUGAGGAGCGAAAGCAUGGGUAGCGAACAGG